This 416-nucleotide long non-coding RNA is filed under the name Sorghum bicolor (sorghum). RNAcentral describes it as "long non-coding RNA (SBIC_LNC007441)". The record is from RNAcentral. Lineage: Eukaryota; Viridiplantae; Streptophyta; Magnoliopsida; Poales; Poaceae.
ACCCACUGACAGCCAGAAGUUAGCUACCACUACGACUUGCGUGCGAGCAUUUCCCGUCUUGGCAUAUAGACUAUUCCUUCUUCUGAAAACAUACUAGUACAACCUUUUUUUUCAAAAUGAAAAAUGGUCUCAUACUACAACUUUAGUCUUUGAUUGAAGUGAACAUGACAAAGGGAAAAUGCAUCUAGCUCAUGAGAGCGACGUGUUUCUUCAUUUUUGUCAUCAAUCAAAUCAAAGGGAGCAAAAAAGAAAAAAAAUCCCAUCCAGCUCGUCUGGACAUCCCCAUUGGGAAGAGUUCAGAGUUGACAAGCAAAACCGAAACGAGCGAGAUCUGUAGGCUGAUGAUUCUCGCGUCAAUUUGGCCCAAAUGGCCACUGUCAGGUUUUUCCAAUCAUGCAAGGCCUUGUUUACUUCCC